CUAAAGGGUUGUUCGAGACUAGAACGUUGAUAGGCAGGGUGUGUAAGCGUUGUGAGGCGUUGAGCUAACCUGUACUAAUUGCCCGUGAGGCUUAACCAU
RNAcentral lists this ribosomal RNA (99 nucleotides) under Vibrio cholerae. RNAcentral describes it as "partial 23S ribosomal RNA". It matches the Rfam family "Bacterial large subunit ribosomal RNA", at positions 2827 to 2925 of the family's 2925-position model. The record is from RNAcentral. Lineage: Bacteria; Pseudomonadati; Pseudomonadota; Gammaproteobacteria; Vibrionales; Vibrionaceae. RNAcentral also lists the same sequence under 3 other names.